RNAcentral lists this ribosomal RNA (499 nucleotides) under uncultured bacterium. RNAcentral describes it as "partial 16S ribosomal RNA". It matches the Rfam family "Bacterial small subunit ribosomal RNA", at positions 28 to 507 of the family's 1533-position model. The record is from RNAcentral.
GACGAACGCUGGCGGCGUGCCUAAUACAUGCAAGUCGAGCGGACGGAUGGGAGCUUGCUCCCAGACCGUCAGCGGCGGACGGGUGAGUAACACGUGGGCAACCUGCCUGUAAGACUGGGAUAACUCCGGGAAACCGGGGCUAAUACCGGAUAACUCUUUCCCUCACAUGAGGGAAAGCUGAAAGAUGGCAUCUCGCUAUCACUUACAGAUGGGCCCGCGGCGCAUUAGCUAGUUGGUGAGGUAACGGCUCACCAAGGCGACGAUGCGUAGCCGACCUGAGAGGGUGAGCGGCCACACGGGGACUGAGACACGGCCGAGACGCCUAAGGGAGGCAGCAGUAGGGAGUCUUCGGCGAUGGACGGAAGUCUAACCGAGCAACGCCGCGGGAGUGAAGAAGGUGUUCAGAACGUAAAGCUCUAUUGUAAGAGAAGAACGAGUGAGAGAGUGGAAAGUUCACACUGGGAGGGGAGCUAACCAGAGGAGGACGGCUAGCUACGUG